This 1283-nucleotide unclassified non-coding RNA is filed under the name Hevea brasiliensis (rubber tree). Lineage: Eukaryota; Viridiplantae; Streptophyta; Magnoliopsida; Malpighiales; Euphorbiaceae. The record is from RNAcentral.
AUGAAACUUCUCAAAAAUCAUUUCUUCCAGCCAUUGUGUUAUGGGCCUAAAGAUCACAACCCAAACUGAUUAUGGGCCUAACCAAAACAGAUUUGGCCAGCCCAAGAAUUUUUUUUCUUCUCUAUUUUCUACUCGAAAAUACAAACAAUUACCACGAAAAUUGUUACUACGAUAUCAAAAUUUAGUACGAUCCAGUUUGUUCUAUCUCUUCGCGUAACAUUUGUGUCCAACGAAAUCUUUUUGCCUCGCCACUUAAAAAGCCAAGCUAUCAUUGUACUGUUGUCUGUCUUGCGCUUGUAUCGUCGUGCUCAACCUCCACGAGUACUUUCGCCUUUUUCUUUGCUUUGGCACUUGGAUCAUCUUUCUCAGCUCUUCUUCUAGCUAAAGCAGAAUCUUUUCUACCACUCUUCCGAUGAACUGUAACAGCCUCUUCGUCAUCGUCAUCGUCAUCCAUUCCGGUAUCAGCAUCCAAGCCAUUGUCUCUAAUUCCAAAACCAUCAAAAUCUUCGAUGUCGUCUUCUUCUUCAAGAUCUUCAUAGCCUUCAACAUAUUCUACUUCAACUUCCUCCUCGUCUUCUUCUUCACUAGCCACUUCCUCUGCUUCCCUAGCAAGAAUCUCUUGAUACUUCUGCUCAGGAACAUUGUAUAUAUCGCCAUAAACUCCUUUUGAAAGGCGUUCAAGCAGUUCCUUCUCAAUACUUUUAUCAAGAAGAGCAGCUUUUUCAGCCUUUUCCUGUCGCCGAGAUUCUCUUUUUGUUUCUUUCCUUGGUGUGGUCAUUAUCUUCUCCCUUGUUUUCAAAGCAAGUUUCCUCAUUCUUAUUCGCAUCUGAGUCAUUUUUGUUAAACGUUGUUUUGCCUUGUGCACAAGAAACUUAGGCCAAUACAUCAAAUGUUUAUCAAUGAUUUCAAGAGCCUUUUCGUAAUUUCUUGGCAAUUUAACUCGUUCCCAAAGUUUGUUUGGCAUGUGAGCCCUUUCUAUUGUUUUCAUGUAUAAAUAGAAUACUCCAUCAUGGUCCCGAAUGGUGGCGUACCGGCUAUUAGCCAGAGGACAUGAGCUACGGUUGCAAAUCCCAGUUACAUUAUAUGGGUUUCGACAAAAUAUCCCAGUUUCAAUCUUUGCCAUGAAGCUGCAAUGCUUAUGCCUGAUAACUUGCCAUAUAACCUCAUCAUGUUGCAUCUUUAAUCACUUCUAAACCUAGUUACAGACAAAUUCAAACCUCAGUAAUAGUGAAUCGCUCAAUUUCGAGAUGAAUUUCUCCCCAAUUACUGCAGCUCUACUGGCA